This 314-nucleotide long non-coding RNA is filed under the name Androctonus crassicauda. The record is from RNAcentral. Lineage: Eukaryota; Metazoa; Arthropoda; Arachnida; Scorpiones; Buthidae.
GUGAUGUUAACACUGUCCCUUAGCGGCUUAAUAACUUUAGCCUGGCUCCAGUUUACCAUAAAUCUUGCUCGUAGCUUUUCAUAGCCAAGGCAGUGCUUGUUCUUCCCUUAGAAAUGUCCAGUUUAUGUUCUUCUAUUCUCUUUUUUAAGUUUCGUUUUGUGCUGCCGAUGUACCACUGUGUGCGUUUUUCGUCGUUGUUAUAUAAGGGAAUGGCAUAUAUUCCAGCUUUUCUAUCACCUGGUAUACGGUCCUUGUCAUUUCUCAUCAGAUCAAAUACCGUGUGGCCUCUUUUUCUGACCACUACACACUGCUCG